GUCAGUGUUGCUAAGUGGUUAGAGCAUCAGCUUGUACACCAGAGGUUCACAGGUUUGAUUCCUGGUCAGGGACA
Myotis davidii is the source of this 74-nucleotide non-coding RNA. Lineage: Eukaryota; Metazoa; Chordata; Mammalia; Chiroptera; Vespertilionidae. The record is from Rfam.